GACGAACGCUGGCGGCGUGCUUAAUACAUGCAAGUCAACUUGACUUUAGAUAGCAAUAUCGAAAAGUAGGGUGGCGCACGGGUGCGUAACGCGUAGGUAAUCUGCCCUGAGGUCUGACAUAACCCGUCGAAAGGCGGCUAACAUCAGAUGAUAUAUAAUCACGACAUCGUGGAAAUAUCAAAUCUUCGGAGCCUUGGGAUGAGCCUGCGUCUGAUUAGGUAGUUGGCGGAGUAAUAGCCCACCAAGCCUACGAUCAGUAGCUGGUCCGAGAGGAUGAUCAGCCACACUGGAACUGAGACACGGUCCAGACUCCUACGGGAGGCAGCAGUAAGGAAUAUUGCUCAAUGGGGGAAACCCUGAAGCAGCAACGCCGCGUGAAGGAUGAAAUACUUUUGAUGUAAACUUCUGUAAGAUGGGAAAAAUAUUCUCCUCGGGAGAAUUGAUUGUACCAUCAGAGUAAGCCCCGGCUAACUACGUGCCAGCAGCCGA
This 489-nucleotide ribosomal RNA is filed under the name uncultured bacterium. RNAcentral describes it as "bacterial SSU rRNA". It matches the Rfam family "Bacterial small subunit ribosomal RNA", at positions 28 to 518 of the family's 1533-position model. The record is from RNAcentral.